Long non-coding RNA from Lepidothrix coronata (blue-crowned manakin), 315 nucleotides. RefSeq lists it as uncharacterized. The transcript is spliced from 3 exons. The record is from RefSeq and is a predicted model, not a curated record. Lineage: Eukaryota; Metazoa; Chordata; Aves; Passeriformes; Pipridae.
UGAGGGCGGGCGGGACGAGGGAGCACCGCCCGCCCCGCGCUGCCAUAGGCGGCGCUGCGCAUGCGCGUCACUGCGGGAGCAUCUUGGAUUACUUCAGCUUGCUCCUGCCAGUUGCUCUGUUUAAGUUUCCAGUUUCAACUUCCCUGGAGCAGAAGACAGGCAAGACCCUGAAGGUUGAUGUCCGUCAUGCUGAGGUUCGGGCAGCACCUCAUCAAGCCCUCCGUGGUCUUCUUGAAGACUGAGCUCUCCUUUGCUCUCGUGAACCGCAGGCCGGUGGUCCCGGGGCGUAUCCUUUGGAUGGCCGUGCUCUUGGGA